CACUCCUGCGGGAGGCAGCAGUGGGGAAUAUUGGACCAUGGGCGCAAGCCUGAUCCAGCCAUGCCGCGUGAGUGAUGAAGGCCCUAGGGUUGUAAAGCUCUUUUGUGCGGGAAGAUAAUGACGGUACCGCAAGAAUAAGCCCCGGCUAACUUCGUGCCAGCAGCCGCGGUAAUACGAAGGGGGCUAGCGUUGCUCGGAAUCACUGGGCGUAAAGGGUGCGUAGGCGGGUCUUUAAGUCAGGGGUGAAAUCCUGGAGCUCAACUCCAGAACUGCCUUUGAUACUGAAGAUCUUGAGUUCGGGAGAGGUGAGUGGAACUGCGAGUGUAGAGGUGAAAUUCGUAGAUAUUCGCAAGAACACCAGUGGCGAAGGCGGCUCACUGGCCCGAUACUGACGCUGAGGCACGAAAGCGUGGGGAGCAAACAGGAUUAGAUACCCGUGUAGUCCCAUG
This 449-nucleotide ribosomal RNA is filed under the name uncultured organism. RNAcentral describes it as "partial 16S ribosomal RNA". It matches the Rfam family "Bacterial small subunit ribosomal RNA", at positions 334 to 799 of the family's 1533-position model. The record is from RNAcentral.